Molecule: ribosomal RNA, 1657 nt
Filed under: Salmonella enterica
Lineage: Bacteria; Pseudomonadati; Pseudomonadota; Gammaproteobacteria; Enterobacterales; Enterobacteriaceae
Description: partial 23S ribosomal RNA
Rfam family: Bacterial large subunit ribosomal RNA
Source: RNAcentral
GCGGAAGAUGUAACGGGGCUAAACCAUGCACCGAAGCUGCGGCAGCGACACUGUGUGUUGUUGGGUAGGGGAGCGUUCUGUAAGCCUGUGAAGGUGGCCUGUGAGGGUUGCUGGAGGUAUCAGAAGUGCGAAUGCUGACAUAAGUAACGAUAAAGCGGGUGAAAAGCCCGCUCGCCGGAAGACCAAGGGUUCCUGUCCAACGUUAAUCGGGGCAGGGUGAGUCGACCCCUAAGGCGAGGCCGAAAGGCGUAGUCGAUGGGAAACGGGUUAAUAUUCCCGUACUUGGUGUUACUGCGAAGGGGGGACGGAGAAGGCUAUGUUGGCCGGGCGACGGUUGUCCCGGUUUAAGCGUGUAGGUGUGUGUUCCAGGUAAAUCCGGUUCACUUUAACACUGAGGCGUGACGACGAGGCACUACGGUGCUGAAGCAACAAAUGCCCUGCUUCCAGGAAAAGCCUCUAAGCAUCAGGUAACAUCAAAUCGUACCCCAAACCGACACAGGUGGUCAGGUAGAGAAUACCAAGGCGCUUGAGAGAACUCGGGUGAAGGAACUAGGCAAAAUGGUGCCGUAACUUCGGGAGAAGGCACGCUGACACGUAGGUGAAGUGAUUUACUCACGGAGCUGAAGUCAGUCGAAGAUACCAGCUGGCUGCAACUGUUUAUUAAAAACACAGCACUGUGCAAACACGAAAGUGGACGUAUACGGUGUGACGCCUGCCCGGUGCCGGAAGGUUAAUUGAUGGGGUCAGCGCAAGCGAAGCUCCUGAUCGAAGCCCCGGUAAACGGCGGCCGUAACUAUAACGGUCCUAAGGUAGCGAAAUUCCUUGUCGGGUAAGUUCCGACCUGCACGAAUGGCGUAAUGAUGGCCAGGCUGUCUCCACCCGAGACUCAGUGAAAUUGAACUCGCUGUGAAGAUGCAGUGUACCCGCGGCAAGACGGAAAGACCCCGUGAACCUUUACUAUAGCUUGACACUGAACAUUGAGCCUUGAUGUGUAGGAUAGGUGGGAGGCUUUGAAGCGUGGACGCCAGUCUGCGUGGAGCCGACCUUGAAAUACCACCCUUUAAUGUUUGAUGUUCUAACGUGGACCCGUGAUCCGGGUUGCGGACAGUGUCUGGUGGGUAGUUUGACUGGGGCGGUCUCCUCCUAAAGAGUAACGGAGGAGCACGAAGGUUGGCUAAUCCUGGUCGGACAUCAGGAGGUUAGUGCAAUGGCAUAAGCCAGCUUGACUGCGAGCGUGACGGCGCGAGCAGGUGCGAAAGCAGGUCAUAGUGAUCCGGUGGUUCUGAAUGGAAGGGCCAUCGCUCAACGGAUAAAAGGUACUCCGGGGAUAACAGGCUGAUACCGCCCAAGAGUUCAUAUCGACGGCGGUGUUUGGCACCUCGAUGUCGGCUCAUCACAUCCUGGGGCUGAAGUAGGUCCCAAGGGUAUGGCUGUUCGCCAUUUAAAGUGGUACGCGAGCUGGGUUUAGAACGUCGUGAGACAGUUCGGUCCCUAUCUGCCGUGGGCGCUGGAGAACUGAGGGGGGCUGCUCCUAGUACGAGAGGACCGGAGUGGACGCAUCACUGGUGUUCGGGUUGUCAUGCCAAUGGCACUGCCCGGUAGCUAAAUGCGGAAGAGAUAAGUGCUGAAAGCAUCUAAGCACGAAACUUGCCCCGAG